CGAGGUUAGAGACCCUUUCUUUAAGUUGUCUCUAGGCAAAAACACUCAGCAAGGUUUUCCCUAUAAGGAAGAAAAAAACCCAUCAUCUACCUUUUGAGCUGAUGGCUCGUGGAACCCGAAUUACAGAUUUGACUCCUAUGUAGCAGAACUGUUUGUUUAAACAACUCCUUAUUCCGGGUAAUUUCCUUAGAGAGUUAAUGUCUUUUGAUUCUAAGGCCUUAGGCCUGUACGAGAUUAGAGACCCUUUCUUUACCAGUUGUCUCUAGGGCUUGUAUGAAUUUGAGACUUUUUCUUUAACAGAUGUCUCUGGAGUAAAAGGCCUGUACGGGAUUAGAGACCCUUUCAUUAACAGGUGUCUCUAGGGUUCUCCUGCCCUCAGGAUCCUGGUCUGAGUCCUAGAACCUUAAUAUUUCAACCUCUAUGGUUGGUGGAGAGAAGAGAUUGAAAAUACAAGACAAAACAUUCAUAUGUCCAUACAUUUUAAAACCAGUUUUUGUAAUUCGUUCAGUUUUUCCUUUUGGAUAUACUUAUUCUUUUACAACAAGUUGUUUUGUCCUUUAAUAAAAGCAAAGGAAACUUAUCAAAAAGAUAUGUAUUUUUUUAUUCUUUUGUUUUCUUCAAAGGAAACUUAUUUUCAGUCCAUAAUUAUAUUUGGGAAGGAAGGUUCAUUAAAUCCUUUUUAACAAGAUUGUUUUGUUUUUGUAAAAAGUAAAGGAAACUUAUUCAAAGGAAACUUAUAAGGUUGUUAUUGAUAUUCCUCUUUCUUUUGGUGUCUUUUAUAUUUUUGUUUUUUAGGUGUUAGUUGAUCAAAUCAGCAUUGGGUGAAGGCCUUCCCUUAGUCCCCCAGCUUCUUCAACAAAACCAUGAUG
Molecule: long non-coding RNA, 869 nt
Organism: Polypterus senegalus (gray bichir)
Lineage: Eukaryota; Metazoa; Chordata; Cladistia; Polypteriformes; Polypteridae
Exons: 6
Source: RefSeq, a predicted model, not a curated record